This is a non-coding RNA of Morone saxatilis (striped sea-bass), 71 nucleotides long. The record is from the annotation of a RefSeq genome assembly. Lineage: Eukaryota; Metazoa; Chordata; Actinopteri; Moronidae.
AAGAUUGUGACAGAGAGGAAAUGUGGUUGCUUUGAAGCCAAUAUACGGGGGUUCGACUCCCCCUGAUCUUG